Molecule: small nucleolar RNA, 126 nt
Filed under: Meriones unguiculatus (Mongolian gerbil)
Lineage: Eukaryota; Metazoa; Chordata; Mammalia; Rodentia; Muridae
Description: Small nucleolar RNA SNORA17 (ENSMUGG00000012410.1)
Rfam family: Small nucleolar RNA SNORA17
About the family: snoRNA ACA 17 belongs to the H/ACA family of snoRNAs and is predicted to guide pseudouridylation of the 28S rRNA at positions U4659 and U4598. It shares the same host gene together with ACA43.
Source: RNAcentral
CAUGAUGGAAGUGUUGCAGGUGUGGCUGCCCUGUCACACGUGUAUCGUAGGUGGCAGAGAGAGAAGAGGCUGUGUAUACACUCAUUGUUCUACUAAGAACAUCUGAACGAUUACUAGCCUAACAUU